UAGGGAAUCUUCCACAAUGGACGCAAGUCUGAUGGAGCAACGCCGCGUGAGUGAAGAAGGCUUUCGGGUCGUAAAACUCUGUUGUUGGAGAAGAAUGGUCGGCAGAGUAACUGUUGUCGGCGUGACGGUAUCCAACCAGAAAGCCACGGCUAACUACGUGCCAGCAGCCGCGGUAAUACGUAGGUGGCAAGCGUUAUCCGGAUUUAUUGGGCGUAAAGCGAGCGCAGGCGGUUUUUUAAGUCUGAUGUGAAAGCCCUCGGCUUAACCGAGGAAGCGCAUCGGAAACUGGGAAACUUGAGUGCAGAAGAGGACAGUGGAACUCCAUGUGUAGCGGUGAAAUGCGUAGAUAUAUGGAAGAACACCAGUGGCGAAGGCGGCUGUCUGGUCUGUAACUGACGCUGAGGCUCGAAAGCAUGGGUAGCGAACAGGAUUAGAUACCCUGGUAGUCCAUGCCGUAAACGAUGAAUGCUAGGUGUUGGAGGGUUUCCGCCCUUCAGUGCCGCAGCUAACGCAUUAAGCAUUCCGCCUGGGGGAGUACGACCGCAAGGUUGAAAC
Molecule: ribosomal RNA, 555 nt
Filed under: uncultured bacterium
Lineage: Bacteria
Description: partial 16S ribosomal RNA
Rfam family: Bacterial small subunit ribosomal RNA
Source: RNAcentral